GGWCCUUCGGGGUCAGCGUUUAUUAGAUAAAGAACCAACAUUUUGGUGCUUCAUGGUAACCAUUCGGAUCGCACGCUCAGCGGCGAUGGUUCAUUCAAAUUUCUGCCCUAUCAACUUUCGAUGGUAGGAUAGUGGCCUACCAUGGUAUCAACGGGUAACGGGGAAUUAGGGUUCGACUCCGGAGAGGGAGCCUGAGAAACGGCUACCACAUCCAAGGAAGGCAGCAGGCGCGCAAAUUACCCAAUCCCGACRCGGGGAGGUAGUGACAAUAAAUACUGAUACRGGGCUCUUUUGGGUCUUGUAAUUGGAAUGAGUACAAUUUAAAUCCCUUAACGAGGAACAAUUGGAGGGCAAGUCUGGUGCCAGCAGCCGCGGUAAUUCCAGCUCCAAUAGCGUAUAUUAAAGUUGUUGCAGUUAAAAAGCUCGUAGUUGAACCUUGGGCCUGGYUGGCCGGUCCGCCUCACCGCGUGUACUGGUCCGGCCGGGCCUUUCCUUCUGGGGAACCUCAUGCCCUUCACUGGGCGUGUCGGGKAACCAGGACUKUUACUUUGAAAAAAUUAGAGUGUUCAAAGCAGG
RNAcentral lists this ribosomal RNA (576 nucleotides) under uncultured eukaryote. Its description in RNAcentral is "SSU rRNA". It matches the Rfam family "Eukaryotic small subunit ribosomal RNA", at positions 189 to 795 of the family's 1831-position model. The record is from RNAcentral.